AAAACCCUCGGGUUUUAGUGGCGGACGGGUGAGUAACGCGUGAGAAUUUGCCUUUAGGAGGGGAACAACAGUUAGAAAUGACUGCUAAUGCCCCAUAUGCUCAUUGAGUGAAAUGGUUUUUCCGCCUAAAGAAAAGCUCGCGUCUGAUUAGCUAGUUGGUGAGGUAAUAGCUCACCAAGGCGACGGUCAGUAACUGGUUUGAGAGGAUGAUCAGUCACACUGGAACUGAGACACGGUCCAGACUCCUACGGGAGGCAGCAGUGGGGAAUUUUCUGCAAUGGGCGAAAGCCUGACAGAGCGAUACCGCGUGAGGGAUGACGGCCUGUGGGUUGUAGACCUCUUUUUUCAAGGAGGAAGUUCUGACGUGUACUUGAAGAAUAAGCAUCGGCUAACUCCGUGCCAGCAGCCGCGGUAAGACGGAGGAUGCAAGUGUUAUCCGGAAUCACUGGGCGUAAAGCGUCUGUAGGUGGUUUAUUAAGUCUAUUGUUAAAUCUUGAGGCUUAACCUCAAAUCAGCGAUGGAUACUGAUAGACUAGAGUGUGAUAGAGGUAAGAGGAAUUUCCAGUGGAGCGGUGAAAUGCGUAGAGAUUGGAAAGAACACCGAUGGCGAAAGCAUCUUACUGGGUCAAAACUGACACUGAGAGACGAAAGCUAGGGUAGCAAAAUGGGAUUAGAUACCCCAGUAGUCCUAGCAGUAAACGAUGGGAUACUAGAUGUUGUACGUAUCA
This 728-nucleotide ribosomal RNA is filed under the name uncultured marine bacterium. Its description in RNAcentral is "bacterial SSU rRNA". It matches the Rfam family "Bacterial small subunit ribosomal RNA", at positions 69 to 834 of the family's 1533-position model. The record is from RNAcentral.